UAUAGGACCCUUUUGAAAAAAUAACGGGAAUUAAGAUAGUGGAUAUUUGUAUUAAAUAUGUUUGUAAUUACUAUUGUUUUUACAAUUUUAUCCUUUAAGAGAGAAUUGUUUUAUGUUUUCAACAUGAUAUUUAUUGCUGAUUGAAGAAAAUUAUGUAUAAUAAAUAGGGGCAUGCAUGUAAAGAAAUAAUUAAUGUAGUUGGAAAUAGCAAAGGGAUCUUAUAAAAAGGGACAAAAAAAAUUCUCAAAA
RNAcentral lists this long non-coding RNA (249 nucleotides) under Medicago truncatula (barrel medic). RNAcentral describes it as "long non-coding RNA (MTRU_LNC003761)". The record is from RNAcentral. Lineage: Eukaryota; Viridiplantae; Streptophyta; Magnoliopsida; Fabales; Fabaceae.